CUCCACCCGGUUGUAGCUGUUCCUCACCGCUGGGCAAGCGCUUCCCCCUCCUCCCCCACCACCCCAGGAUGGAUUGGUACCUUUCCUGCCUUCCUCAGCCACCUUGCCAAGAGGCCAUUUUCUCUCUCCACUCUUUCCUUCAACUCUGCUAACAACGAAAGUACAUCCUAAAUUGGCCUGGUUUCACACUACAGGAGAUUUGACACCUUCCUCCUCGGAAGCAGCUGUGAGACACCACCAUCUUUCUCCCAAGGCCCAGCUAUUAACUCAACAGUCCCCAGACCCAAGCGAAGUCAGCAGAAGAAAGAAAUGGUUCGAGGCAAAUAGAGGCUCUCUUAUCUCUGCAAGGAGCUGGGCAUUGUGGCACAGUGAAUCAAAUUCCCAACUCGACACCUGGGCCCAUGGUAAAACUGCUCAACCAGAUUUCGAUCUCUCUUUUCAUAGAAGAUGCUGAGAGGGGCCAUCACCUUAGUCUCACUCACCAGACUGACUGCGCGUGCGGGUGCUCAGAACCACAGGAAUAAAGUCACGGAAACUGCUCUUUGCUUUCU
Molecule: long non-coding RNA, 551 nt
Filed under: Homo sapiens (human)
Lineage: Eukaryota; Metazoa; Chordata; Mammalia; Primates; Hominidae
Description: HSALNT0286315
Source: RNAcentral